GCUGCGUUCGUUGUCUUCUGUCUUCCGGUUUGCAUUUCCACAGCAUGAAGUGUUUGUGAGCAGUAACAUACAGGAUGGCCUGCCAAGGAGAGGAACCAAUGACUAUGUGAACAAGAGGCCCAUCAGAAAGGUCAGAUGAGAAAUCAUUAAGUUUAUUUUGUGAGGUCACCCUGCACUUACACAUCUGCUGAAGUUACUCUCAAAGUCAUGGACGAUGGACCUUCAACUGCUUCAAUGUUUGCCUUUAAAUUACAAUCACUGCUUAUCUGUUUCCUGUAAAUCUAGCCAUUGUUUAAGUCUGCCUCCCUUCCACUAAAGUUCAGAUAAACUGCAUUAAGGAAAGUCAUAGCUUGUACAAAAAGAGGUAGCAUCUGGUGUACUUUUUGUGAAACAGAGGUACAAAAAAAAACAUUUUCCUUUGAGGAUAUGUGGAAAUUCGAAUAAAUACCGACAUGGAUUGAAUAAAUCAACCACAAGAAGUCUAAUAAUUAAUGAAUAUUAGUGCACCUGGAAACCAUUAUAAGAGUUAAAGCAAUGUUGUG
This is a long non-coding RNA of Cyprinus carpio carpio, 542 nucleotides long. The record is from Ensembl. NCBI's taxonomy places the organism in Eukaryota, Metazoa, Chordata, Actinopteri, Cypriniformes, Cyprinidae.